Molecule: long non-coding RNA, 1118 nt
Organism: Gavialis gangeticus (Gharial)
Lineage: Eukaryota; Metazoa; Chordata; Crocodylia; Gavialidae
Exons: 2
Source: RefSeq, a predicted model, not a curated record
GAGGGAGUGGGUGGGCAGCUGCUGUUAGCUUCAAGCUGAAUUUGCGGCUGGCCAUUUCCCCGUGUUCAUGACCUGCAGCCCUGCAUUGUGUUGAGCACUGUUGGCACAGAAGAGACAUAGCCACAGAGAUGCAGAAAGUGGUAGUCACCUUUCUUAAACCAUCCCAUCCCAUCCUAUCCCAUCCCAUGCUGAUCCUGCCUCUUCCUGCAAGCCCCCAUGGAAGGGAUUUCAGAGCAUCCCUUAGCACCUGCUCCGCAGUCCUGCUGCUCUCAGUUAGGAAGCAAAUUACCCUCAAAUCUAAUCAGACACAGGAAAGAGCAUGUGGCGCUCUGGCUCAGCUGGACUCAUCUCCUUGCGUUCCUUUUCAGAAGUAAUGGCGCCAGGAUUGCCAGCACGUCCCACGCAAAUGCGUGACAGGGAAGUAACUGAAGAACUGCCUCUAGCAGCUGCCAAGUCCUCCGUGCCGCACAGCCUGCAUUCGCCCUCUCUGCCGGGAGCUCUGCCCACGCUCUGCAGACGACAGCUCAGCCCUGUGCUGGCUCAGGUUGGGGGAGAUGGACUUUGAGCCUUGAACCCACUCUUUGACCUGCGGGGCCAUGGGGCCUCCACGCCACGUCCCUGCCUCGCUGCGUUUCUUCAACCAUCUCGUCGCUUUUCUUCCCUGGGCCUCACCUGAGGACUUCUAUAGUCAGUGGCUGAACUUGAACCUCUGCCCUUUUACCUUCCAGAAGUAACGGCCUAGGUUAGUGGAUAGUGCAUGGGGAACUGGGGCUUUCUUUGCCCUUAGCUGUAAGGUGAAGUUCAUGUGGCCCCUUGAGAAUCAAUACGUAGGUGAGACCCCCCUGGUAGCCUGGUUAUUGCCAAUCCCAAAAGAGAUGCCCGACUGAAAGGGAGCAUGAGCUGGCGGGCUUGCAGUCAGGAUGUGUCCCAAGCUGGCUGUAUGGCUUUGGGCAGGAGAUGUACAGCCCCCUCUGCAAAGUGGUCAUUAGAAAACACUUACCUACCUGGCAGCCACAUUGGGAGGCUUCGCUGGCUCGCAUUUCUAAAGUGCUUUGAGAUCCCCAGGGGAAGGACUGCUGUCAAAUGCAGAGUGAAAUAAACCACUUUACUCUUCUGCC